This 119-nucleotide ribosomal RNA is filed under the name Pteropus alecto (black flying fox). Lineage: Eukaryota; Metazoa; Chordata; Mammalia; Chiroptera; Pteropodidae. The record is from RNAcentral.
GUCUAUGGCCAUGCCACCCUGAACAUACAUGAUCCUGUCUAAUCUCAGAAGCUAAGCAGGGUCGGGCCUGGUUAGUACUUAGAUGAGAGACCACCUAGGAAGACCAGGUGCUAUAGGCA